AAUAGGAGCAUGACAAAUUAGAUUUUUCUUCUUGAUUUUCAACUUUUUCCUCCUAAAAAAUUCAAAUCUAACUAAAAAUGCUAAAAAUCAAGAGAAAUAUUUAAUUUGUCAUACUCUUAUU
RNAcentral lists this microRNA precursor (121 nucleotides) under Gossypium arboreum. RNAcentral's name for it is "MIR7504 microRNA precursor family". It matches the Rfam family "MIR7504 microRNA precursor family". The record is from Rfam by way of RNAcentral. Lineage: Eukaryota; Viridiplantae; Streptophyta; Magnoliopsida; Malvales; Malvaceae.